UACGGAGGGGGCUAGCGUUGUUCGGAAUUACUGGGCGUAAAGCGCACGUAGGCGGGUGUGCCAGUCUGGGGUGAAAUCACGAGGCUCAACCUUGGAACUGCCUCCGAUACAGGACGUCUCGAGUCCGGAAGAGGUCGGUGGAAUUCCUAGUGUAGAGGUGAAAUUCGUAGAUAUUAGGAAGAACACCAGUGGCGAAGGCGGCCCACGGGACCGGUAGUGACUAUGAGGUGCGAAAGCGUGGGGAGCAAACAGG
Molecule: ribosomal RNA, 253 nt
Filed under: uncultured bacterium
Lineage: Bacteria
Description: partial 16S ribosomal RNA
Rfam family: Bacterial small subunit ribosomal RNA
Source: RNAcentral